Molecule: long non-coding RNA, 670 nt
Filed under: Trifolium pratense (red clover)
Lineage: Eukaryota; Viridiplantae; Streptophyta; Magnoliopsida; Fabales; Fabaceae
Description: long non-coding RNA (TPRA_LNC011468)
Source: RNAcentral
AUUAGCAAGAUCUGUCAAAUAAAAUUCAGUUGAGAAAAAACACAAUCAUUAUCAUAAGAUUAAGAAAGGGUAAACAGAACUAUUUGAUGCCCAAAAAAUAAGGUCAUGUUUAACCAGAUUUGAGAAUAGAGUGGUCGCCCUACAUAAAACAAUCUCCAUCAGAGAAAAUAAAAUAAAAAUUAGUGGGAUCUAUUUGAAAUUGAUGCUAAAUAAAACCUCUUCAUAAAUUUAUAUUCACGGUUAGCUAUCCCAUCCGCACACAUGCUUACUCUGUAAGAAGAAUUUUCUGCACAACUAGCACUAACACUCUGUUGUGUUGUGUUGUAUAAUACUCUUUCAGAAUCAAUACACACCUCAACUGUCCUGAAACCCUAAUUCACCAACUCCAAACGCAAUCGCAAGCCAAAGCUCAAUAAUUUUUCCACUGCAAAUCACUUUUUAACUCUACACUGCAUCUCACAUUCAAAUGAAUCCAUGUCUCUAUCAUAUUACUGCUAAAAUAUUCAUGUUUCAUGGUAUUUGGAACCACAUUGAUCACAGAGCAAGUGCUUGUGAACAAUCUCUUAGCAAAUGCAGAAUUGUUCCAAUCAAUCACCAGUACCACAAUAAAGAAUAUGUGCUAGCAACUAUAAAGUUACCGUACUAGCCUCCAAGCCACAAGAUCUUGUCA